This 440-nucleotide ribosomal RNA is filed under the name uncultured bacterium. RNAcentral describes it as "partial 16S ribosomal RNA". It matches the Rfam family "Bacterial small subunit ribosomal RNA", at positions 338 to 795 of the family's 1533-position model. The record is from RNAcentral.
CCUACGGGAGGCAGCAGUGGGGAAUAUUGCACAAUGGAGGAAACUCUGAUGCAGCGACGCCGCGUGAGCGAUGAAGUAUUUCGGUAUGUAAAGCUCUAUCAGCAGGGAAGAAAAUGACGGUACCUGACUAAGAAGCUCCGGCUAAUUACGUGCCAGCAGCCGCGGUUAUACGUCGGGGGCAAGCGUUAUCCGGAUUUACUGGGUGUAAAGGGGGCGUAGAAGGCGAUGCAAGCCAGAUGUGAAAGCCCGGGGCUCAACCCCGGGACUGCAUUUGGAACUGGGUGGCUGGAGUGUCGGAGAGGCAGGCGGAAUUCCUAGUGUAGCGGUGAAAUGCGUAGAUAUUAGGAGGAACACCAGUGGCGAAGGCGGCCUGCUGGACGAUGACUGACGUUGAGGCUCGAAAGCGUGGGGAGCAAACAGGAUUAGAUACCCCUGUAGUC